GAUGAACGCUGGCGGCGUGCCUAAUACAUGCAAGUCGAGCGAAUGGAUUGAGAGCUUGCUCUUAUGAAGUUAGCGGCGGACGGGUGAGUAACACGUGGGUAACCUGCCCAUAAGACUGGGAUAACUCCGGGAAACCGGGGCUAAUACCGGAUAACAUUUUGAACCGCAUGGUUCGAAAUUGAAAGGCGGCUUCGGCUGUCACUUAUGGAUGGACCCGCGUCGCAUUAGCUAGUUGGUGAGGUAACGGCUCACCAAGGCAACGAUGCGUAGCCGACCUGAUGGGGUGAUCGGCCGCACUGGGACUGAGACACGGCCCAGACUCCUACGGGAGGCAGCAGUAGGGAAUCUUCCGCAAUGGACGAAAGUCUGACGGAGCAACGCCGCGUGAGUGAUGAAGGCUUUCGGGUCGUAAAACUCUGUUGUUAGGGAAGAACAAGUGCUAGUUGAAUAAGCUGGCACCUUGACGGUGCCUAACCAGAAAGCCACGGCUAACUACGUGCCAGCAGCCGCAGUAA
RNAcentral lists this ribosomal RNA (515 nucleotides) under uncultured bacterium. RNAcentral's name for it is "partial 16S ribosomal RNA". It matches the Rfam family "Bacterial small subunit ribosomal RNA", at positions 28 to 523 of the family's 1533-position model. The record is from RNAcentral.